RNAcentral lists this ribosomal RNA (1398 nucleotides) under Massilia sp. RNAcentral describes it as "bacterial SSU rRNA". It matches the Rfam family "Bacterial small subunit ribosomal RNA". The record is from RNAcentral. Lineage: Bacteria; Pseudomonadati; Pseudomonadota; Betaproteobacteria; Burkholderiales; Oxalobacteraceae.
GCAGUCGAACGGCAGCGCGGGGCAACCUGGCGGCGAGUGGCGAACGGGUGAGUAAUAUAUCGGAACGUACCCAAGAGUGGGGGAUAACGUAGCGAAAGUUACGCUAAUACCGCAUACGAUCCAUGGAUGAAAGCAGGGGACCGCAAGGCCUUGUGCUCCUGGAGCGGCCGAUAUCUGAUUAGCUAGUUGGUGAGGUAAAGGCUCACCAAGGCCACGAUCAGUAGCUGGUCUGAGAGGACGACCAGCCACACUGGAACUGAGACACGGUCCAGACUCCUACGGGAGGCAGCAGUGGGGAAUUUUGGACAAUGGGCGCAAGCCUGAUCCAGCAAUGCCGCGUGAGUGAAGAAGGCCUUCGGGUUGUAAAGCUCUUUUGUCAGGGAAGAAACGGUAGAGGCUAAUAUCCUUUGCUAAUGACGGUACCUGAAGAAUAAGCACCGGCUAACUACGUGCCAGCAGCCGCGGUAAUACGUAGGGUGCAAGCGUUAAUCGGAAUUACUGGGCGUAAAGCGUGCGCAGGCGGUUUUGUAAGUCUGUCGUGAAAGCCCCGGGCUCAACCUGGGAAUUGCGAUGGAGACUGCAAGGCUUGAAUCUGGCAGAGGGGGGUAGAAUUCCACGUGUAGCAGUGAAAUGCGUAGAGAUGUGGAGGAACACCGAUGGCGAAGGCAGCCCCCUGGGUCAAGAUUGACGCUCAUGCACGAAAGCGUGGGGAGCAAACAGGAUUAGAUACCCUGGUAGUCCACGCCCUAAACGAUGUCUACUAGUUGUCGGGUUUUAAUUAACUUGGUAACGCAGCUAACGCGUGAAGUAGACCGCCUGGGGAGUACGGUCGCAAGAUUAAAACUCAAAGGAAUUGACGGGGACCCGCACAAGCGGUGGAUGAUGUGGAUUAAUUCGAUGCAACGCGAAAAACCUUACCUACCCUUGACAUGUCAGGAAGGCCGAAGAGAUUUGGCUGUGCCCGAAAGGGAACCUGAACACAGGUGCUGCAUGGCUGUCGUCAGCUCGUGUCGUGAGAUGUUGGGUUAAGUCCCGCAACGAGCGCAACCCUUGUCAUUAGUUGCUACAUUUAGUUGGGCACUCUAAUGAGACUGCCGGUGACAAACCGGAGGAAGGUGGGGAUGACGUCAAGUCCUCAUGGCCCUUAUGGGUAGGGCUUCACACGUCAUACAAUGGUACAUACAGAGGGCCGCCAACCCGCGAGGGGGAGCUAAUCCCAGAAAGUGUAUCGUAGUCCGGAUCGUAGUCUGCAACUCGACUACGUGAAGUUGGAAUCGCUAGUAAUCGCGGAUCAGCAUGUCGCGGUGAAUACGUUCCCGGGUCUUGUACACACCGCCCGUCACACCAUGGGAGCGGGUUUUACCAGAAGUAGGUAGCUUAACCGCAAGGAGGGCGCUA